RNAcentral lists this ribosomal RNA (516 nucleotides) under uncultured bacterium. RNAcentral describes it as "bacterial SSU rRNA". It matches the Rfam family "Archaeal small subunit ribosomal RNA", at positions 723 to 1239 of the family's 1478-position model. The record is from RNAcentral.
ACGGAAUAGAUACCCCGGUAGUCCCAGCCGUAAACGAUGCUCGCUAGGUGUCAGGCAUGGCGCGACCGUGUCUGGUGCCGCAGGGAAGCCGUGAAGCGAGCCACCUGGGAAGUACGGCCGCAAGGCUGAAACUUAAAGGAAUUGGCGGGGGAGCACAACAACGGGUGGAGCCUGCGGUUUAAUUGGACUCAACGCCGGACAACUCACCGGGGGCGACAGCAAUAUGUAGGCCAAGCUGAAGACUUUGCUUGAAUCGCUGAGAGGAGGUGCAUGGCCGUCGCCAGUUCGUACUGUGAAGCAUCCUGUUAAGUCAGGCAACGAGCGAGACCCGUGCCCACUGUUACCAGCAUGUCCUCCGGGACGAUGGGUACUCUGUGGGGACUGCCUAUGUUAAAUAGGAGGAAGGUGCGGGCCACGGUAGGUCAGUAUGCCCCGAAUCUCCCGGGCUACACGCGGGCUACAAUGGAUGGGACAAUGGGUCCCUACUCCGAAAGGAGCUGGUAAUCUCACAAACCC